AUCCCAUGACGAGGACAAUUCUUGAUCAUCAUGUUAAACCGUUCGAAUGCUUCAUGAAACAUUUCACCUUGUUGUUGUUGAAAACUCCUCAACCCCUUCCUAGCAU
This 106-nucleotide small nucleolar RNA is filed under the name Helianthus annuus (common sunflower). Its description in RNAcentral is "Plant small nucleolar RNA R71". It matches the Rfam family "Plant small nucleolar RNA R71". Rfam says of the family: R71 is a member of the C/D box family of snoRNAs containing the C (UGAUGA) and D (CUGA) box motifs. Multiple nearly identical copies of this snoRNA have been identified in Arabidopsis, and it is thought to function as a 2'-O-ribose methylation guide for 18S ribosomal RNA. Lineage: Eukaryota; Viridiplantae; Streptophyta; Magnoliopsida; Asterales; Asteraceae. The record is from RNAcentral.